GCCUACGGCCAUAUCACCCUGAAUGCGCCCGAUCUUGUCCGAUCUCGGAAGCUAAGCAGAUUCUAGCCUCGUUAAUACUUGAAUGAAAGAAAUCCUGCCUCUGGACCGCAGCCA
Molecule: ribosomal RNA, 114 nt
Filed under: Petromyzon marinus (sea lamprey)
Lineage: Eukaryota; Metazoa; Chordata; Hyperoartia; Petromyzontiformes; Petromyzontidae
Source: RNAcentral